AGAUCUUUUAAAAGAAGUCCAGAGAGGCUUAAAAGGGUGUAAGGCAAUAAAGGUAUAAGUAUGUUUUCAAUACCUUGAUUUGCUCUACCGAAAAACACCCUGAUACUAGUAGUCAGGGUGUUUUUUUAUA
This is a regulatory RNA element of 130 nucleotides. It matches the Rfam family "PyrR binding site". Rfam says of the family: This family represents the PyrR binding site and terminator structure. This RNA structure is found upstream of a variety of genes involved in pyrimidine biosynthesis and transport. The alignment also includes a portion of the antiterminator structure. The record is from Rfam.